Molecule: ribosomal RNA, 420 nt
Filed under: bacterium
Lineage: Bacteria
Description: partial 16S ribosomal RNA
Rfam family: Bacterial small subunit ribosomal RNA
Source: RNAcentral
UGGGGGAUAUUGCACAAUGGGCGAAAGCCUGAUGCAGCGACGCCGCGUGGGGGAUGAAGGCUUUCGGGUUGUAAACCUCUUUCGCUAUCGAACAAGGUCCGCUUAGGGUGGGUUGAGGGUAGGUGGAGAAGAAGCGCCGGCUAACUACGUGCCAGCAGCCGCGGUAAUACGUAGGGCGCGAGCGUUGUCCGGAAUUAUUGGGCGUAAAGGGCUUGUAGGCGGCUUGUUGCGCCUGCUGUGAAAACGCGGGGCUUAACUUCGCGCGUGCAGUGGGUACGGGCAGGCUUGAGUGUGGUAGGGGUGACUGGAAUUCCAGGUGUAGCGGUGGAAUGCGUAGAUAUCUGGAGGAACACCGAUGGCGAAGGCAGGUCACUGGGCCAUUACUGACGCUGAGGAGCGAAAGCAUGGGUAGCGAACAGG